Long non-coding RNA from Chenopodium quinoa (quinoa), 2040 nucleotides. RefSeq lists it as uncharacterized. The transcript has 4 exons. Lineage: Eukaryota; Viridiplantae; Streptophyta; Magnoliopsida; Caryophyllales; Amaranthaceae. The record is from RefSeq and is a predicted model, not a curated record.
CCUACAGGUAGGGUAGUCUAUUAGCCAUGUUUUCUUUUGUUUAGGGUAUCCUGUUAACCAUGCUUUCUUUCAGAUCCCUGUAUAGGUAUCAUUUUUUCCAGGCCUUGCUGUACGGCUUUUCGGUUUUUCUUGCUCAAACAUUGGAACCAAUCUGUAUUUGGUUAAUUUUAAUUAAUAUUAUCCCACUUUCCAUUUUAAAAAAAAAGUAGCAAACAAAUUAUCGCUGGAAUCGUCUAUCUUUUUCUUAGUUUUUUUGUACACACUUUUUUUUUGACAUCUAAAGAAUUUUGUUUGCAUUAGUUAGCUUACAUGUUAAUUAAUAAAGAGAAAUGAUAGGGGAAUUUUCUUUAACAUGAAAUUUUUCAGAAAAGCAACUAUGAUAAACUAUUCUCUAUGUAGUCACUACCCUUUGUUAGGAUGACAUUAUUCCUUCAGCCUUACCUCCUCCCUCCUCCCCUUACCCUGUUAACAAUUUCCUUGUUUUCUUUUUCCAAAUUAACCAUUAAGUGCUAGGGUGAGUUUAGCUCACUACUCUCUAAUAAAAACUCAAAUAACUGCCUGCAUACUCUCUCUCUGCUCUCUUUGAUUAUAUAUGACUCUGCUGCUGUUAGUGAAUUAAUGGUAUUGUUAUUUGUGAUAGACACGAACACACACAAAAAUUGGAUAUCAUGAUAUUUGACUCCUACUCUGUCUUUCCCCUCCUAUGAUGGAAGUAUAUACUGUCAUUAAACCAUUGCAAGAAAUACCUAGAGAGGAUAGAGGAGAAAAAUGUCUCAUGAAUCCAUUCAAGUAGCUUGAGAAUAAAUGCACAUCACUAUUAUGGAACAAUCAAUGUCUCAUAAAUCCAUUCAAGUAGCUUGAGAAUAAAUGCACAUCACUAUUAUGGAACAAUCAUACACUUGUUUGUUAGGAUGUCAAAUUUAGCAAUAGCUUGAUAAUAACUGUAAAUCAUUAUUAUGGAAGUUUUUAGUUUGACUUUUUUUUUUUUUUUUUUUUUUUUUUACAUGGAAAAUUAUCAUAUGCAUCGUUCUUUCUUUAACCAAGGUGUUUGUUUUACUUCUCUUUUUUUCAUUAUCUUUUAGAAAGUAUAUCUUGUAGAAAUGUGUUAUUUAAAUGUUGUUACAGCGAUGAAGGCAUUCUGGCUUAAACAGAUGAAGUCUUUGAUAGUACACAUGAAGACAAUACAAUCUUUUCAUUUGAGAUAGGACAGGGCACUGUGAUUAAGGCAUUGUCAUAACUAUGAAGGUUGGUGAAAUAACUAAGAUUACUUGUAAGCCCGAGUAUGCAUAUGGAAGUGCAGGUUCACCUCAAGAUAUUCCUCCUGGUGCAACCUUAAUAUUUAAGAUGGAGGCCUGGAGUUGGUAGCCUGCCGACCACACAAACGUAUGAGUGUUGGUGGUGCUGCAGAUGAGAGGGCAAAGGAAAAUAGGGAGAAUAUAUGGAAAAACUUGAGGAAUAUAUAAACCCCGACAAAGUCUAUUUGGAGGUUGCAGGUGGGCAAAAGAAAGGAAAAAUUUACGGUUUAGGGAGUGCUUCACAAAUGUACUACAAGAGCGAUCCUACUUCUCAACUUACUGCUGCAUCAUCUUCAACUUCUUCCAUGAUUUCUCAACUAAGCUCUCAAGUUGAAGAAUUAAAGAAGAUGGCAGAAGAAAACCUUAACAAGGUAGAAGAAAGCCAAAAAAAAAUAGCGGCAAAGAGCUUAAAAUAUGCUAAUUAAUUUUUUGAAUCACGAGAUCGAAAAAGCAACAUGGAAGAAGGAAAAAUUAGCUAUGCAAAAAAAAAAUGCAGGAAACGACAUCACUUGUCCAACAACGCUACCGUCCUUUUAAGCCUCCUACGCCUACAAUCACCCGCUCUCGUGAUUCAACUAAGUGAUUUUUAUUUUCUUGGUGGUAAUUUUGUGAACAACUGGUCUUUUAUAUCGUCAUUAGUUCUUAUUUGAAGUAGCUUUCUUUAUAUGAGAGGUGAUUUUUGAAACAAUUAGUUUUAUGAGUUAAAUAUUAUUUUUUAAUACAUUGAUACAAAAUUGAUUAUAUU